Molecule: long non-coding RNA, 208 nt
Filed under: Vitis vinifera (wine grape)
Lineage: Eukaryota; Viridiplantae; Streptophyta; Magnoliopsida; Vitales; Vitaceae
Description: long non-coding RNA (VVIN_LNC002134)
Source: RNAcentral
CCCAUACCCCUUCCAAGCUUUUUUUUUUUUUUUUUGACCUUUUUUUUCAUCUUUCUUUACUCUCAUCUCUUUCUUUAUUUUAUGGAUUUUUUUCCUUUUUUAUUUAUUAUUUCUUCUCCCCCCAUUCCCAAUGUGGCCGACCCCAUUUUUUCCCUCCUUCCCUUUUUCCCUUUCUUUCUUUAUUUUGAUUUUUUUUUUUCACUUUUUU